Apodemus sylvaticus (European woodmouse) is the source of this 596-nucleotide long non-coding RNA. RefSeq lists it as uncharacterized. The record is from RefSeq and is a predicted model, not a curated record. NCBI's taxonomy places the organism in Eukaryota, Metazoa, Chordata, Mammalia, Rodentia, Muridae. The transcript has 4 exons.
UUUCUCAGGCAGGCCACCUCAGGUCUCUCAUUGCCAUUAUGAACUCAGUCAAGGAUGUUUUGCUACUUACUGUUCUUUUACAUUUGCUUGUUCUGCACUUAAUAAACUCACUCAUUAGAACCCAAAGGUACAGCUAUCACAGGUCACACUGUACGGCUAUCAUAGGUCACACUGUACGGCUAUCAUAGGUCACACUGUACGGCUAUCAUAGGUCACACUGUACGGCUAUCAUAGGUCACACUGUACGGCUAUCAUAGGUCACACUGUACGGCUAUCAUAGGUCACACUGUACGGCUAUCAUAGGUCACACUGUACGGCUAUCAUAGGUCACACUGUACGGCUAUCAUAGGUCACACUGUACGGCUAUCAUAGGUCACCCUGUACGGCUAUCAUAGGUCACCCUGUACGGCUAUCAUAGGUCACCCUGUACGGCUAUCAUAGGUCACACUGUACGGCUAUCAUAGGUCACACUGUACGGCUAUCAUAGGUCACACUGUACGGCUAUCAUAGGUCACACUGUACGGCUAUCAGAGGUCACACUGUACGGCUAUCAUAGGUCACACUGUACGGCUAUCAUAGGUCACACUGUACGGCUA